GUGUGUGUCUGUAUGUGAGAGAGAAAAUGGCCAGCUUUGUUUCCCCUUUUUCAUGAUACACGCAUCCAUGGCACCACAACACAGAAGCCUACACAGAAACAGUACUAGAUCUACAAAGUAACCAAAGGGUAAAAAGGGCAAGUAAAGAAGAUAAGAUACAAUAAGCUGCAGCUGUUACCUUGGAAUACCAAGAAGAAGAAGAAAGGGGCCCUUCUGAAAUUAUUUCUGGAGGCUUCUUAUGUGGUGAAAGAGGAAAGACUUGAGUGAAGAGAUGAAGAUGGUGUUCUUGAAAGAUUCAUACUCUUGGCCUUGACUUUCUUACACUCAGCUUUUUGAAUCUGGAAGAUAUAGAAAAAACCCAUUUUGGUUACCAGAUGAGAGGAAUAGGGUACAACUUACAAGCAAUAGUAGAUAAUAAAGGUUCAAGCUUUGAAGCAAAGUGCAAGAAAGAAGCUAUUUUGGGUGGCAUUCAUGAAUCACUCUUUCCUUUGGAUACUAAGAGGAGUCCUAGCCCUUCUACCUCCACCUCCGCUCUCUCCUCUUCUUUCGGAGGCGGCGGAGGCAAUGCAAGCUCUGGGGGCGGUGGUCAUAACAACUCAGCUAACUUGGUAUUGAUUUCUGAGGAUACCAUGAACCCCAAAUGGCAAGUUUCUGAACCAGAAAAUGAACGAGAAAGUGGUGGUAGGAAAGAUGAGUGGGCGGUGGAGCUGCAGCCCAUUUCUGGAGCUGGAAGUCCUCAAAGAUUUGGUCUUGGAAAUGGAAUGGAAGAUUGGGAAAGCUUGUUUUCGGAUACGGCAUCACAUGACCAGCUCAGAUGGAUUUCUGGUGAUGUUGAUGAGACUCCCUUGAGCUUGAAACAGCUUUUGCAAGGCGGAAACAAUCACGAAAUUGAAGACGCCUCUGCGAUACAGCCUUGGGGUAAUGCAGCUACUAAUUUCAAUUCUAAUAUGGGUGUUUCCAAUUCUGGUUUUACUUCAGCUUUAGCUCCAAAUUCUAGGGUUUUAAACUACAACCCUAACCCACAAGCCCCCAAUUCUCCUUUGCCUGUGAAUCAUCAGUUUAUGAACCAGAAUAUGGGCAAUCUCGACAUGUCCUCUGUAUUAUUACAAGCUAAUAGUAAUAAUGGCCAAAAAGACCAUAAUCACUACGAGCCUCAACCAAAAAGGCACAAUCUUGGCAUACCAAACUGCACUACUGGUGUCGCUAAAUCCCCAUUUGACGGGUUUCUACCAUCAAUAAAACAGCAUCAAAUGGGUUUUGCUAACCAGUGCAAUCUACUACCUCCUCAUCAGCUUCUGCAGAAACCAUUUAUUACUCCAAAGCAGGAGUUAACAGGUGGAAUUCGUGAGAAAAUAUCACCUGCAAGCCACCUCCAUCAGCACCAGCAGCAGCAACAGGUAAUAUAUGACCAGCUUUAUAAGACAACAGAGUUGAUGUUGUCUGGGAAUUUCUCACACGCGCAAGCGAUAUUGGCGCGGCUCAAUCACCAGCUUUCUCUCAAUAUAAAGCCUUUCCAGAGGGCUGCUUUUUAUUUCAAGGAGGCUUUGCAAACGUCCCUCCUCGAAAUAUCUGAUCCAGUAUCCCCGAUUUCAUCAAGAAUUCCUACACCAGUCGAUGGUAUGUUUAAGAUAGGUGCCUAUAAAGUGCUUUCGGAAGUUUCACCAUUAGUACAAUUCAUGAAUUUCACUUCGAACCAGGCUCUUCUUGAAGCACUUGGCAAUGCAGAUAGCAUUCAUAUCAUAGACUUUGAUAUUGGGUUUGGUGCACAAUGGUCUUCUUUCUUGCAGGAGCUUCCGAGGACGGACAGAAGUCCUCCCUCAUUAAAAAUUACUGCUUUUGCCUCCCCUGCAACCCACCAUGCCAUUGAGCUGGGUCUUAUGCAUGAAAAUCUUACACAAUUUGCUACUAAGAUGGGUGUUUCUUUUGAACUUGAAGUAGUUAAUUUUGACUCGUUUGACCCAAAUUCUUAUGCAACGUCGUUAGAAAAUGAAGCAGUUGCUGUGAAUUUUCCUCUCUGGUCUGCAUCGAAUCACCUGCCUGCCCUUCCCUCUCUUUUGUCAUUUAUAAAGCGGCUCUCCCCUAAAAUCAUGAUAUCGAUGGACCGUGGAUGUGAACGAAUCGAUCUCCCCUAUCCACAACACCUCCUUCAUGCACUCCAAUACUAUGAGAUUUUAUUCGAUUCCCUCAAUGCUGCUAAUGUAACUUCUGAUACAGUCAGCAAAAUGGAAAGGUUUCUUUUUCAGCCAAAAAUCAGAAGCAUGGUGUCGGGGCGCCUGCGUUUUCCUGAACAGAUGCUCCCUUGGAAAUCAGUUUUUGCCUCUAUGGGUUUCUCACCAGUGGCAUUUAGUAACUUUGCUGAGACCCAGGCUGAGUGUUUGGCAAAGAGAACCCAGGUUAGGGGAUUUCAUGUGGAGAAGCACCAGGCAUCACUUGUGUUGUGCUGGCAAAACUGUGAGCUUAUGUCCUUGUCAGCUUGGAGGUGCUGAGCUGCGGAAUGUCAAGUCUCUUGGCAGAGCAAAGGUUUUAACUGACUUCACUCCUUAGGACAUCUGCAUUUGAUGCAUUCCUACGCGUCGCUGUUUAGGGAUGUUCUUGUUAUAUUACGGUGUUCAACCCUUUCUGCAGCCUAGGUAAGCCUUCGAUAAAGAAACGGAAUUCGAUUCCUAAGGUUUUUUUUUACCCAAAUGGUCCACACAAUCUUCCCAAGAUUGUUCUCUCUUCAUUAGGAGUUGGGGCCAAAAGCCAGGUUCUUGGAUCAUUCACUAGUGAGGGGUAAGGUCUGCAAAAUCCUUAAUAUGUUUUGUAUGUACUUAUACAGUUACACUAUGGAAUUAGUUUCUAGAUAUACCAAAUAUAUUUUGUUUAUGUACUUAAACUACGGAUUGAGCACUUAUAUUACUACUUCUGACAUCAAGAUUUAGAGUCUAGACUUUUAUAUAAGUCUGAUGAUUAGAGACAGCAUUAUUUUGUUAUGCUCAACUAAAGGAGUUAGGUUGAUAACUCCUCCACAUGCUUUAUCUUA
Daucus carota subsp. sativus is the source of this 3022-nucleotide RNA transcript. It is a transcript of the gene named scarecrow-like protein 27, with no coding region annotated. The record is from RefSeq and is a predicted model, not a curated record. NCBI's taxonomy places the organism in Eukaryota, Viridiplantae, Streptophyta, Magnoliopsida, Apiales, Apiaceae. The transcript is spliced from 3 exons.